GACGAACGCUGGCGGCGUGCUUAACACAUGCAAGUCGAACGGUAAGGCUCCAGCUUGCUGGGGUACACGAGUGGCGAACGGGUGAGUAACACGUGGGUGACCUGCCCUGCACUUCGGGAUAAGCCUGGGAAACUGGGUCUAAUACCGGAUAGGACCGCACCGUGAGGGUGUGGUGGAAAGUUUUUUCGGUGUGGGAUGGGCCCGCGGCCUAUCAGCUUGUUGGUGGGGUAAUGGCCUACCAAGGCGGCGACGGGUAGCCGGCCUGAGAGGGUGGACGGCCACAUUGGGACUGAGACACGGCCCAGACUCCUACGGGAGGCAGCAGUGGGGAAUAUUGCACAAUGGGCGGAAGCCUGAUGCAGCGACGCCGCGUGGGGGAUGACGGCCUUCGGGUUGUAAACUCCUUUCACCAUCGACGAAGGGUUUCUGACGGUAGAUGGAGAAGAAGCACCGGCUAACUACGUGCCAGCAGCCGCGGUAAUACGUAGGGUGCGAGCGUUGUCCGGAAUUACUGGGCGUAAAGAGCUCGUAGGUGGUUUGUCGCGUCGUCUGUGAAAUUCCGGGGCUUAACUCCGGGCGUGCAGGCGAUACGGGCAUAACUUGAGUACUGUAGGGGAGACUGGAAUUCCUGGUGUAGCGGUGAAAUGCGCAGAUAUCAGGAGGAACACCGGUGGCGAAGGCGGGUCUCUGGGCAGUAACUGACGCUGAGGAGCGAAAGCAUGGGGAGCGAACAGGAUUAGAUACCCUGGUAGUCCAUGCCGUAAACGGUGGGCGCUAGGUGUGGGUUUCCUUCCACGGGAUCCGUGCCGUAGCUAACGCAUUAAGCGCUCCGCCUGGGGAGUACGGCCGCAAGGCUAAAACUCAAAGGAAUUGACGGGGGCCCGCACAAGCGGCGGAGCAUGUGGAUUAAUUCGAUGCAACGCGAAGAACCUUACCUGGGCUUGACAUAUACAGGAUCGCGCCAGAGAUGGUGUUUCCCUUGUGGCUUGUAUACAGGUGGUGCAUGGUUGUCGUCAGCUCGUGUCGUGAGAUGUUGGGUUAAGUCCCGCAACGAGCGCAACCCUUGUCUUAUGUUGCCAGCACGUUGUGGUGGGGACUCGUAAGAAACUGCCGGGGUUAACUCGGAGGAAGGUGGGGAUGACGUCAAAUCAUCAUGCCCCUUAUGUCCAGGGCUUCACACAUGCUACAAUGGUCGGUACAGUGGGUUGCCAGUCCGUGAGGGCGAGCUAAUCCCGCAAAGCCGGUCUCAGUUCGGAUCGGGGUCUGCAACUCGACCCCGUGAAGUCGGAGUCGCUAGUAAUCGCAGAUCAGCAACGCUGCGGUGAAUACGUUCCCGGGCCU
RNAcentral lists this ribosomal RNA (1341 nucleotides) under uncultured bacterium. Its description in RNAcentral is "partial 16S ribosomal RNA". It matches the Rfam family "Bacterial small subunit ribosomal RNA", at positions 28 to 1381 of the family's 1533-position model. The record is from RNAcentral.